This 74-nucleotide transfer RNA is filed under the name Meiothermus sp. RNAcentral describes it as "tRNA-Gln". It matches the Rfam family "tRNA". From Rfam's summary of the family: Transfer RNA (tRNA) molecules are approximately 80 nucleotides in length. Their secondary structure includes four short double-helical elements and three loops (D, anti-codon, and T loops). RNAcentral also lists the same sequence under 1 other name. Lineage: Bacteria; Thermotogati; Deinococcota; Deinococci; Thermales; Thermaceae. The record is from RNAcentral.
UGGGGAGUCGUCUAGCGGUAGGACAGCAGACUCUGGAUCUGCGAGCGGUGGUUCGAGUCCAUCCUCCCCAGCCA